Molecule: unclassified non-coding RNA, 228 nt
Filed under: Hevea brasiliensis (rubber tree)
Lineage: Eukaryota; Viridiplantae; Streptophyta; Magnoliopsida; Malpighiales; Euphorbiaceae
Source: RNAcentral
CACAGAUUAUGCAACUUCAGAAAUCAGAAAGCCUGAGAAUGAAAAAAUACACGAAACCCAUGAACCAAAUAACUUGAAAUCAAAAGAGUUAGUCACAACUCUUGCCUUGUAGCUGCCGUAUUAGAAAUAACGAUUUCGCAUCUCAGUGACUUAAUUUUGUUCAGUGGAGAAACAUCAAGCAAUAGCUAGAAGAUAAAUAGACUUACAAGGCAUAAAGCGGAAAUCAAG